RNAcentral lists this ribosomal RNA (253 nucleotides) under uncultured bacterium. Its description in RNAcentral is "partial 16S ribosomal RNA". It matches the Rfam family "Bacterial small subunit ribosomal RNA", at positions 524 to 776 of the family's 1533-position model. The record is from RNAcentral.
UACGAAGGGGGCUAGCGUUGCUCGGAAUCACUGGGCGUAAAGCGCACGUAGGCGGCUUUUUAAGUCAGGGGUGAAAUCCUGGAGCUCAACUCCAGAACUGCCUUUGAUACUGAGAAGCUUGAGUCCGGGAGAGGUGAGUGGAACUGCGAGUGUAGAGGUGAAAUUCGUAGAUAUUCGCAAGAACACCAGUGGCGAAGGCGGCUCACUGGCCCGGUACUGACGCUGAGGCGCGAAAGCGUGGGUAGCAAACAGG